This 83-nucleotide transfer RNA is filed under the name Zingiber officinale. RNAcentral's name for it is "tRNA-Leu". It matches the Rfam family "tRNA". Rfam says of the family: Transfer RNA (tRNA) molecules are approximately 80 nucleotides in length. The record is from RNAcentral. Lineage: Eukaryota; Viridiplantae; Streptophyta; Magnoliopsida; Zingiberales; Zingiberaceae.
ACUAGUUUGCUCGAGUGGUUAAGGGUGAAAAUUUAAGAUCUUCUGCACAUAAGUGUGCAUGGGUUCGAACCCCAUAGCUAGCA